AGUUCCCUCUUGGGGGAAAUUUUCUGGCAAAUUCUCAGAUGUUGGGUUUAAAACCACAUGUACUGUAGAUCCAUGACUGGGCUAAGGAUGAGAUCACAUUGGUCCUGAUUACAACAACCGUAGCCUGACUGCCUAGUCGUCUCCGACAGCUCAUCAACUGUUCAGCAUCCACUUCCAACUGUACGUCUCCCCCUGAAGCCUCAUAUCAGCAGCAUCGGCUUUCAAAUAAGGAGCCAUAAGGGGACUCUUAACGUCACAGGCAUUUUGGUAAGACCCUUUAUGAGCCUUCUCUUACAAAACACCUUCUCGCUCUUCUCAUUCAUAUCCUCUCUCCCCAUCCAUCUCUUUGACUCCAACUUCUCUGUCUUUUUUUGCAAUCCCUCUUUUUCUUUGCUUCUCUUUUUAUACCCUUCAGUCCAAUUUCUGGCCUCUUCCUCACCCCCCUCUCUCUCUCCAUCAUAUUGCAUCUCCUAAAUCAGACAUGACUCAACUCUGGAUUUCUUCAACUAGACAUAAUUGAGCCGCGCAUUCCUCACAAUGUAAUAACUGCUCAUACUGUAGUAUACUGCAAUCCAAACAAUAACUGUGCUUACAUAAUCGAUUUCCAAAGUCAGUUUCAAUAUAAAUAGAUGUCUGUUUGUUUUCAUUCAGUCUGAUUGAUAAAACACAACAGGCUAAUGAUUUACCUUAUAUCUAAUUUAUGAAACGCUCUUAUACUAGCUGUCCUUUGCACUCACUGUUGUGACAAACUUCCUCCAUUGUAGCAUAUAGAAGCAACAGUGAUUUCUUUGUUAAAGCUACUGUGAGGAACUUUAAAUUUGUUUCGAUUUUGGCGGUCCCUGUGGACAAAAGCGGUAGUGUUUCCGACCACCAGAGUCUCUUUAGAAAACAUCUAAUUUUACUGCAGAAGGAUCUGACUGUCUGCUCCCAUAAGUCCUGGUUCUGGUUCUCCCGUGCGUCCCUUCCCACCAGCGGGCCCAGCAAUACAGCCUGAGCCUUCAGCAGCGCGGUGUCAGUGUUGGCUCCCAGCGAGGACCUGCGGAGCAGCGAGGCAAAGCUCUGCUCCUGGCCAGAGGAGGAGCCGCUGCCGCCAGGCACGGAGCACUCCUACUCUUGACAGAGCUCCGACUGCAGUUCGAAGGCAGUAGCAAAGCCGGACCUGGGUCUGUACACGGUGGGUCUGCUGGAGUCUGAGCUGAAGGAGUUUCUGGUGAAUCUGCAUAAUUUCGCCUGAUUUUGCGCGGAAUCCGACCCGGUGGCACCGAUGACAAGCAUUAAGAAUAACUAUAUAGAAAUAGCCAAUCUUCUCGCUGAUGGAACUGCAUUGAUAAGGUU
Molecule: long non-coding RNA, 1335 nt
Organism: Sebastes umbrosus (honeycomb rockfish)
Lineage: Eukaryota; Metazoa; Chordata; Actinopteri; Perciformes; Sebastidae
Exons: 3
Source: RefSeq, a predicted model, not a curated record